This 484-nucleotide ribosomal RNA is filed under the name uncultured bacterium. Its description in RNAcentral is "partial 16S ribosomal RNA". It matches the Rfam family "Bacterial small subunit ribosomal RNA", at positions 30 to 507 of the family's 1533-position model. The record is from RNAcentral.
AUUGAACGCUGGCGGCAGGCCUAACACAUGCAAGUCGAGCGGAUGAAGGGAGCUUGCUCCUGGAUUCAGCGGCGGACGGGUGAGUAAUGCCUAGGAAUCUGCCUGGUAGUGGGGGAUAACGUCCGGAAACGGGCGCUAAUACCGCAUACGUCCUGAGGGAGAAAGUGGGGGAUCUUCGGACCUCACGCUAUCAGAUGAGCCUAGGUCGGAUUAGCUAGUUGGUGGGGUAAAGGCCUACCAAGGCGACGAUCCGUAACUGGUCUGAGAGGAUGAUCAGUCACACUGGAAGUGGAACACGGUCCAGACUCCUACGGGAGGGAGCAGUGGGGAAUAUGGGGCAAUGGGCGAAAGCCUGAUCCAGCCAGGCCGCGUGUGUGAAGAAGGUCUUCGGAUUGUAAAGCACUUUAAGUUGGGAGGAAGGGCAGUAAGUUAAUACCUUGCUGUUUUGACGUUACCAACAGAAUAAGCACCGGCUAACUUCGUG